GGUAUAAGAUGGGCAUGCGUCUGAUUAGGUAGUUGGUGAGGUAACGGCUCACCAAGCCGACGAUCAGUAGGGGUUCUGAGAGGAUUACCCCCCACACUGGUACUGAGACACGGACCAGACUCCUACGGGAGGCAGCAGUAAGGAAUAUUGGGCAAUGGAGGCAACUCUGACCCAGCCAUGCCGCGUGAAGGAUUGACGGCCCUCUGGGUUGUAAACUUCUUUGGGAAGGAAUAACCCUCCGAACGUGUUCGGAGCUGAAGGUACCGUAAGAAUAAGGAUCGGCUAACUCCGUGCCAGCAGCCGCGGUAAUACGGAGGAUCCAAGCGUUAUCCGGAUUUACUGGGUUUAAAGGGUGCGUAGGCGGAUUGAUAAGUCAGUGGUGAAAGCCUGCAGCUUAACUGCAGAACUGCCAUUGAUACUGCCAGUCUGGAGUAUGGUUGAGGUAGCUGGAAUGUGUCAUGUAGCGGUGAAAUGCUUAGAGAUGACACAGAACACCGACGGCGAAGGCAGGUUACCAACCCAUUACUGACGCUGAGGCACGAAAGCGUGGGGAUCAAACAGGAUUAGAUACCCUGGUAGUCCACGCCGUAAACUAUGAUUACUAACUGUUUGCGAUAUACAGUAAGCGGUACAGCGAAAGCGUUAAGUAUUCCACCUGGGGAGUACGUUCGCAAGAAUGAAACUCAAAGGAAUUGACGGGGGCCCGCACAAGCGGAGGAGCAUGUGGUUUAAUUCGAUGAUACGCGAGGAACCUUACCUGGGCUCAAACGUAUAGGGAAUUAUGCCGAAAGGUAUAAGCCAGCAAUGGCCGUAUACGAGGUGCUGCAUGGUUGUCGUCAGCUCGUGCCGUGAGGUGUCGGCUUAAGUGCCAUAACGAGCGCAACCCUUGUCGUUAGUUACCAUCAAGUAAUGUUGGGGACUCUAGCGAGACUGCCACCGUAAGGUGUGAGGAAGGGGGGGAUGACGUCAAAUCAGCACGGCCCUUAUGUCCAGGGCGACACACGUGCUACAAUGGCCGAUACAAAGGGCAGCUACCAGGUGACUGGAUGCGAAUCUUUAAAAUCGGUCUCAGUUCGGAUCGGAGUCUGCAACUCGACUCCGUGAAGUCGGAUUCGCUAGUAAUCGCGCAUCAGCCAUGGCGCGGUGAAUACGUUCCCGGGCCU
RNAcentral lists this ribosomal RNA (1163 nucleotides) under uncultured bacterium. RNAcentral describes it as "bacterial SSU rRNA". It matches the Rfam family "Bacterial small subunit ribosomal RNA", at positions 217 to 1381 of the family's 1533-position model. The record is from RNAcentral.